This 310-nucleotide unclassified non-coding RNA is filed under the name uncultured Periconia. RNAcentral's name for it is "sequence contains ITS1". The stretch from base 1 to 105 matches the Rfam family "5.8S ribosomal RNA", at positions 50 to 154 of the family's 154-position model. The record is from RNAcentral. Lineage: Eukaryota; Fungi; Ascomycota; Sordariomycetes; Microascales; Halosphaeriaceae.
GAAAUGCGAUAAUUAGUGUGAAUUGCAGAAUUCAGUGAAUCAUCGAAUCUUUGAACGCACAUUGCGGCCAUAGGUAUUCCUUUGGCCAUGCCUGUUCGAGCGUCAUUUACACCCUCAAGCCUAGCUUGGUGUUGGGCGUCUUGUCCCGCCGUCUCUCGCGCGCGGACUCGCCUCAAAGUCAUUGGCGGCGGUCGUGCCGGCCCCUCGCGCAGCACAUUUGCGCUUCUCGGAGGCCUGGCUGAUCCGCGCUCCAGCAAGACCUUUUUCAUGACUUGACCUCGGAUCAGGUAGGGAUACCCGCUGAACUUAA